UACGGAGGGUGCGAGCGUUGUCCGGAAUCACUGGGCGUAAAGGGUGCGUAGGCGGGUUUUUAAGUCAGGGGUGAAAUCCUGGAGCUCAACUCCAGAACUGCCUUUGAUACUGAAGAUCUUGAGUCCGGGAGAGGUGAGUGGAACUGCGAGUGUAGAGGUGAAAUGCGUUGAUAUUGGAAGGAACGCCGGAGGCGAAAGCGGCGCACUGGACCUCUUCUGACGCUGAGGCGCGAAAGCUAGGGGAGCAAACGGG
RNAcentral lists this ribosomal RNA (253 nucleotides) under uncultured bacterium. Its description in RNAcentral is "partial 16S ribosomal RNA". It matches the Rfam family "Bacterial small subunit ribosomal RNA", at positions 524 to 776 of the family's 1533-position model. The record is from RNAcentral.